CCAACGUGCACUGUGCUAUUUUCCAUCCGUGAGAUAACAGCAGCUUGCAAUCCAAAGCAGGGUCUGCUCUGCUGGCAUUUCAUCCCCCUUCUUUUUGGAUUCAGUAGCAGUGGUGGCUCAGAGCUGGAGGGCUAGACCACACUCUGCUUUUUGGUGGUGAAAACCCCUCAGAUCCAUCCAGAGAUUUAACUGGAGUAACAACCGAGAGAAAAGAUCAGCUCAGCAUGUCCAAGAUUAUUCAAGUUGCUAAUAUUCCUGACAAAAGGAAAUGUUUAUACCCAUUCGGACAUUUUCCAUUUUCACUUUGAAAAUACAACUUGCCUUCCCAGUGAUAGGAAAGAGGCUUGCCUCACCUCCACCUCUUGUACCUUUGCAUGAUAUUUUUUCAAAUGUUUCUCAUACAGCAUUUACAAAACUUGUGCUGGCAGCCUCUUGCUAAUGCUUUUUAGCUUUGAGAAAGCUUGUGUUUUUUGGAGUGCAUUUUCAUUCAGUGCAAACAAGUAGGCAAGAUCCUUCACCUUGGUGAUCUUCGGUUUUUAUUUUAGUGUAACUGUAAAGCAAAGCUGUAAUUUCACUUCAAAGGAAAUCUUCUGUAUCCAUUUCUAAUUACCAACCUGUAUCCCCACUACUUUUCUUGACUACACCAGUUGAAUUUCAGCCUAAAUUCCAUAAUUUUUGCCACUGGAUGAGUGAAGGUCUGACCUUACAAGGAGCUGCUGCAUCCGUGGACUUUUUCACUGUGGCCGUGGUUUUCCUGAGUGGUGCUUGAUGGGGUGGAGGUGCCAGUUCUCCAUCACCUUCACUUGUGAGAUAGCACAGAGACCUCUGAUGGGGUUGGGAAAGGAAACAGAAGGAAGGAGGGGAAGGGGAAAAGGCUGGUGAGUGACCAUAUAGUGCCUUGUGGGCCAUGCCAAAGGGAAUCCCAACAGGCUGGGCUGCAGCUCGGGCAGGGGGAUGUGAGUGAAACGAGGUGGGGAGGGCUCCUGGCUUCAUCCUGCCUAUGCUGCAGCAGUGACUUCUGUACAGAAAAGCAGCCAGAACAGCAGCAGCCAGUGACAGCCGUUGAGCAAUGCCCUUGUCACAGCGCCAAGGAGAGGGGUGACAGAUUUUCUGGUGUGGAACCUGGCUCCUGAGUCCUGGAGAAGGAGAGGAGGGCUGGUCCAAAUGCAUGGAGCUUCCAUCAGGAAGCAUUCAGGCUGUUUUCAUCCUAUAGCACAGACUGAAAUUAAGGCAAGACAGGUAGGUGCCUCAUGCGUUUGAACUCUCCAGCCAUGGGGCAUCAAAAACUUAGCAAGAAGGCGCAGAAAGAACCAAAAAUCACCACUAUCUAAUAAUUCUAUUGAGCCUCUAUGCUAUCAGAUGAUAUGUGGUGAAGUAGAUUAUAUUCAAGCAGAGUUUGGAAUAAAUCUCAAACAAGUCCUUUGGCUGAAGCAUCCUUGAACCCAAGAUAAAGAAAUUUCUAUCCCUUAGAUAUGUUCUGUCAACCAAAUGCAGCUUUUUGAAAUUUAUAGUUUUUGCAGAAAUCAGGACGACAUAUUUUAGGAUAGUCCAGACAUCUCUGGCUGCCUGGAUUUCCUCGGUUUAGCUUUGUUAGUUCCCCUCCUCCUUAAAAAAAAUAAAAUAAAAAAAUCAAGAACCUUCUUAACCUCUUCAUUGGGUACAACUUACAGCAAACAAACAAACAAGCAAACAGUCUCCAUCUGGAAAAAAAAUCUGGCAAAGAAAAUAUUGUUAGGGGAAAAAAAAAAGGGGGUUUCUCUCACAGAUAUUAACCAUUACUCUGAGAGAUGCAUUCGUCCUUCAGAAAUGAGCAGCUGUGUAAAUCAUUAGGAGGUUGCUAAGGAUUAAGGCUAGCCAAAAUAUGUUCUUUUACUGUCUUAAAUUUCCUCAAUGUAAAAUAAAUGUAAGCUAAACUGCUCUAACUGCGGAUGCUGCCACUGCUUACACAGUUUUGAUAGGGAUGGAUUAGGUUCCUUCUUAAAUUGAUUUGAUACCUGCAGGUGUGAACACAUGAUACGGCACAUCUGUAAGGGGAACCGGAGUCACAGGAAAGUGCUUGGAGCCCACGUGCUCCAGCUCACGGCCAGGGCUGGCUUCCGUGCACACUUCUGUGUCAUAGUUAUGGGAACCCAGGAUAAUCAGGCACAAGGUACGUGUAGCUCCCCAUGGUUAUUGGGCUGUGUAUUUUUGAAGUUCUCAAGAGAAUAACCUGCUGAAUGUUAGCAUCUCUGAGUCCAGGAUAGGGCUCUGGUUCUGUACUGCAGUCCCAGGUGCAUGGUGUUCCUGAGCCACAGGCUACAAUUUUCAACAGUAAGGGAUGUUAAUGCCUUUUGCCACACAAGAAGUUUGUUUCAUUCUUUUAAUGCUAAGUGUACGUUUAUCCAAAAGGCAACCCUCCCCCCCAGCCUUAGUUUUCAUAGCUUUGUCUCAUCUCAGCUCUAUGCCUCCUUCCAUCAAAGCCAGAGAUGGUGUUUUACAAGAUCACCCCAAAGGGCAGCAGCAAGGUGAGAAAUGGUGAUUUGAGUAUAUUCUGAUAAAAUGCCAGUUUGUGCUUUAUAGUUGCCUAUUUCCUCACCUUCCUUAGAAUUUUAUUAAUUCUGGUAAGAAGCAUUUAUUCCUUGACUCUAAGUGACUUUUUGACCCUUGGUAAUGUUUUUCUGUCCUUGAUGGAUCUUGAUGCAGACUUCUUAUUAUCAUCAGCUGUGCGUGAAUGCUUGGUAAUAGAUCUGAACGAAAAAGGGCAAUAUUCACCCCUCUGAAGAGCUCCUCUGAAUUCCUUGAACCCUUGAAAUGCUCCCAGGAAUGCACAUGGCUUUAGAGUGGAAGCUGUGCAGGGCAGCAGGGCUAGGCAGGACAGCGGGGAGCAGGGAAGCUGUCACCCUGUGCUUGGUAAGCCUGCUGCCUUCCAGCACAGAUCAGAACCUGCUGGGGUAUGGACCACACUGUCUGUCGACUUUCCAUGGGGACUGGGCUGCAAGCAAGCAGGGAUGCUUGUUUUAUCCAUCCUGAAGCUGACCCACUGUGCCAGACAGGCUGCUGCUGCUGCAGAGCGGCCACAGGUUGCAAAUACCCACAGGGAAGGAGGAAGAGUGGACGGCUGCAAGCAGCAGCCUUGGUUUUGAGGACCUCCUGUUGCCUCCUCCCACCGCCCUCAGCUCCUGAUCCCUCUGGAUCUUGUACCUACAGGACGUGGGGAGCUGCAGCCAGCACAACCCAAAGCUCUGGCUGAAGCAGCACUGGUUGAGCAGAAAAGGCAAAUUCCAUUCUUGUAGCACAUGCUGUUUUGCAAUCUCAUCAUUUCUCUGGACCUUGCUUACAGAAGAAGGCAUGGCAGUGAAUCAGCAAGUUAAGAAAGUUAACAGUUACAACAGAAGCAGUUUAAUUACAGCAAGAUCUUUACCUUGCAGAAACAACAACAUUUUAAAUUAGAUUUCAGUCGCACUUGUCAAGAAGAGGACAAGUCUAGAGAUCAGAAAUUCAGACUGUGUCACUUUGGGCAAUCUGCUUUGCAUCAUGUGCUGAAUUGGCUUGGUUAAAAGGAACAGCUGGCAAGAGGUUUUUGUUUUAUUUUUAUAUUUUUUUGCUGAUCAAUUUUAAAUCAAAUUCUUUCAGAUGUGUUUUGCUGCUAGCAAAGGCUCUCUGCUGCCUGGUUAGUGUGUUUGUGUAAUUAUUUUAGGUGUUGUUUGGAUGUGCAUAUGAUGCCAAACAGUGUAACUGGAUGAUGGAAAGCCCAGGCCAGGUGACAGUGGUUCACAACUCCAGGCAUGCAGGCUUUGAAGCUUUAGCUGCAGACUUUUCUAGCAUCCUUGCUAUUAAUUAGUCUUCAGAAUUUAAUAAUUCAAUACUCUUUCUGCUACAGCAUGACAACAGCGAGCAUAGCUGUUUCGCUGUAGAUAACAAUAACAAAAUAUUCCUAAUUUAAUAUUCUUGUUCUCUCCCAGCACCCCAGCCAGCCCCCCUCCUAGAUGGCAGCUGCUUUAAAGCUCAGCUCCUGCAGAGGCCUGUGCAGCAUCCCCAUGGCUCCGGGUGCCCGAAUUCAGCUGACAGCUGGUGUGUGUCAGAGGUGUGCCCCCAGGGCUGGCACACAGGUACUAGACAUUGCCCUCGUGGUUCCUGAAACAGGUGAAGCCACUGACGUCAGUGGGUGUACUGGAAUUGGGCAGGUCAGAUAUGAAUGAGGGCAAAUGCAAGGCGAGGGUAAUUCAGAGGCCACUUCACAUUCCUUUUCUUGAGGCUGAAGCUUAUGGGGUUGUGUGGUUUUGCUGUGCCACGUUCCCCCUGGAAACAGGAGUCACACUGUCACACCUGCACCUGGAGGGAAGGGAGAUAUGGAAAGUAGCUCCAGUUACCACACAAGCAAAAAAUGUCCUGUAAAUCUGUGAGAUGAUGGACAUCUGGGUGUAGUAGCACAAACACUGCACGGGCUGAGGAAUGACUGACAGUCACUGGACGGAGCAUUUCGCUCCCCUGGAGAGCUGCCAGUGGGGUGAUUAAAUCCCACAGAGUACCAAGAAGACCUCACCCAGGAUAUCAAAGCAGCCCCGUUGCUUCCAUGGAAACUGGAAAUGCUGUGUUACGGCAUGUGCUUUAGCCUCACCCAGAGAAAUGCACAGCCUGUUCCAAGAAGUUCCAUUGAAGCAGCAACAACAACAAAAAAUGACAGAGCCAACCCAAAGCAGAGGUCAGGGGAGUGCAGCUGAGAGGAUGCUUUGUUGUCCCUUCAUCCUCUCGACACGAGAGCAGCACUGCAUGCUCCACCAGCUGUGCCAGGUCCUGCCUUGCCUCCUGCGCUUGGUCAGAGAAAGAAGUGAAGUUUCCACGUCUUACUCUGUCUGCACGGGAUGUCAACCAUUAGUAUUCAUAACAUAUUGGCAACUCAUUAAAAAAAAAAGAAAAAAAAAAAGCGCUUCUUUUUGGUUAGAGAGAAUGUAACAAAAUAAAUAGCAUCUCUUUGCUAAAGAUGAAAUACCUAAAUUAUAAUCAACAAGUUUACUUUCCUUGAGUCAGAAACCAUGAAUCAUCCUGUAAAAUCAGAUCAAAUUCAAGAUUAGUUUCUCAUGGUAUUGCUGAGGAAUUUCAGAUAUUUCCAUUGGGAAAAGAGUUAUUUCUUUAACCGUCCCAAGGUUAGUUUGUUUAGUAUUAUUUUUUUCUUGCAUAAUGAGGGUUGCCCAAAGGUAAGGAAUGUCAAGAUCUAAAUGUGGAGUGAAAAAAAGAAAAAGAAAAAAAAAAGUAAAAAAAAAAGUAAAGAAGUGAGAUUAGGACAAGAUUAAGAGAACAAGGUUAAGUGGAGACACAAAUCAGACUAUUCCAGCUAGGCAGAAAGUUCAUAAAAGCUUAUGACUGUCUUGUUAAAUACUGCACAAAAAUAUAUCAAAUCUCUGGCUAUGGGACACUUCUCCAGCCCGUUAUAUGUGUUGUAAAUAGUGCAAUGGAGCAAGCUAUUAGCACAAGUUUCUGAAGUUUUCUGUAUUGUGUGGCAGUCUUGCAGCUGCCCAAUAUCUGAGAUACAUGCUAAGGUAUCAAUAAACCUGUGAGAUUACUGAGAGCAUUGUUACCAGGUUCUAUUGCAGAUGCCAGAACCUGAAUUAUUCCAAAGCAUUUUGCAAAUUCGGGGGCCAUUUGCUGCACUCAUUUGGGGGAAAGCAGGCUUAAAAACAGGUAACAUAUUGCCUUUUCUUUAUACCUGCUGAUACUGGCAGGUCAUACUUCCUACUCGUGUGCUGCCCAGCAAAACAGCUCCCUGUCCACGUGUCCAUCUUCAUCGGACUGUUGGCUCACUGACCCCGAACUGGUGGUAUUGUUGUGAAAUCAGAGGCAGUGAGAUGAGAUACAGCUUCAGGAAGGUGCCAACAUCUGGUAGAUGGACCAAGAUCACGAUGCGUUUUUAAGGAAUGUAUUUUUCUAGCCCAGCUCUGGAGGACUCCCUGACUACACAGGAGCCACAGAACUUCCCAUUUCUUCACCAGUGACCUAUUAAUGAUGCUGGACAGUGCCUACAUGCUCACCUUCAGCUUUGUGGAGGCUGCUGCUGGUUUUGUAGAUCUGAGGCAACAAAAUGCUGGCUCUUGACCUGGCAGAUGGAGCAUCGGUAUGAGCAUGGCUGCAAGGACAAGCCUUCCCCAUCCUCCAUCAAGCCUGCAUGCCAUCAACAGCCCCAAAGGGGACAGAAAUGCGUGCCCAACACUCAUCCCACCCCACAGCAGCCAUUUCGGAGUGGCACAUGGCUGGAGACCAUCCUCUGCUUUCUGCCAUUGUCAGCAGCCCGUGGCAGGAGCAUCCAGAGGGUGAUUCAUCCACCCACCCUGGACGGGGUGAAUCACCCGCUGAAAGCAGCCGUCUGCCCUGGGGGACUCGGGAGGAACUGUAGACAUCCGUCUUUAAAUAGAUGCCUGACUUUAGAUCAGUAAACUUAGGGGAAAUGAAUCCCAUCCUAUGGGUUUUGCUACCUCAGGUCAGCUAGCAGAGUUCUAUUACUAGUUGUUUUUUUUUGGAAUAUUCUUCCAGUCAUGACAUACAUAAAGUCAGGCAAAGUCUUGUAUGCUACAGGGACAAUGAUGGGAAUUUUCUGAAGUGGUUUAUUUUUAUUUUUUUUGGUUAAAUAAAGCCUUUAGCCAACCACACUGAAUCAGUGGUGCUGAGCCAUAGCAGAACGUGAAGCUACAACUGCAUGGGUAGAAUUUUUGAUGCAGAGGGUGAAUAAUAUUUUGAAGUGAAAAGUAUCAUGCUAUUUUCACCUCCUGCUUUUCAAAGGAGUAGGAGAAGAGAGAGAGAAGGUGCUCAUUGAAAAUCCUGAGUUAGAUUUUUAAUAAUGUCGUUUUUUUUCCCCUACUGUUAUCCCCCCCCUUUUCCUUCACAUAGUGAGAAACUUCCCAAGGUUGCCAACGGCACUAAAGCAGUCAGUCCACUUUCAGAAUUUCAGUCACCUCUUAAACACUUAGAGGCUGAAUUGAGUGAAAACCCGUUUUCAGAAGAGUUUCCAAGGAAGUAGAAAGUUUCCACACCCUGAAUCUUGCACUCAAAGAAAUGGAAACUGGCUCGUUGCUGCCAACAGCCUGAACUGUUGUAUAGCAGGCUGCUGAAUGUUAUAUUCUGUAAUAAAAAAAUGUGAACAUGCUUGGUGCUAUAUUAAAACACACAAAUGCACUUUGAAAAAUGUAGCUGAAUUAUAUAUGUCUUUUUUUUUUUUUUCUCCUUUUAUUUUCUAGGCAUAGUGUUUUUUUUAUCUGCCUGAUAACAAAUAAAUUCUGAUGGAAUCCCA
Non-coding RNA from Anas platyrhynchos (mallard), 7258 nucleotides. The record is from RefSeq and is a predicted model, not a curated record. NCBI's taxonomy places the organism in Eukaryota, Metazoa, Chordata, Aves, Anseriformes, Anatidae.